Xenia sp. Carnegie-2017 is the source of this 4415-nucleotide long non-coding RNA. RefSeq lists it as uncharacterized. The record is from RefSeq and is a predicted model, not a curated record. Lineage: Eukaryota; Metazoa; Cnidaria; Anthozoa; Malacalcyonacea; Xeniidae. The transcript is spliced from 2 exons.
UCAAUUGAUUUCAGUAAUUUUUAGUGUAAUGUGCCACAUAUAUAUGUAGCAAGACACUUAAUUUUGCAAAGAUGAGCAUUUAUACACAUUCAUCCUUCACCAUUACAAAAUACACAUUUAAUUCAAAAUCAAACAUUUUAUAUUAAGAAUUAUACAUUAAAAUGCUCUAACUGCUAACCAAGCUACAAGAACAUUGUAUUAAAUGGGUAAACAGAACAAUUUACAAAUGGAAUGAUAUCUGAAUCAUGUGGGAUAUUCACGAUGAAUUAUAUACCUACACUGCCAUAAGUUUAUUGACAUGGAUUGAGGCAAAAACUAUCACAUAAUUUUGCUAGCUGUGUACACACGUCUGAUAAGAAGUAGGGGCAUUGUUAUGUGACUUUGCUUUUACCAAUAAAUAUACUAGCUUCAUGUUCAGAUUUUUGACUCGUUCAUAUGAUUGUUUUAAGCAUACAACCUUUGUGCUUACUUUGUACAUGGCAUGAUGACAUUUAGAAUUGCAACAAAGGAACGAAUGAAUAAUAAUAAAGCCUUCAUAGUUGCUCUAUCACAAAUAAUCAAUUACUUUGCUUGUUUAUUUCAUAUACUUCAUGUUUUAAUACAAUAGAAAGCAGUGAAAGGUUUUACUGAGCUACAUUUAUGUACAUUUUUGUAGUAUUAUAUUUAUAAAUUUGACCUCAGUUUAAUGGCAUGUUUAUCUUUCCGAACCUUUAUAGCUCAUUUGGACGAUGCUUUCUCUUAUUAAUUUAAGACUAGGUACUUAAUCAAAGAAUUUAUCUUUACUAACUUCAAAAGGUUGGCAAAUUGUAAUUCGGACGUAGCGUAUUAAAUAUUUCUUAGCUCACACAUAUUAACGCAAGCGAUAACAAAUAUCAAUUUUAUCCCUUCCAGCGACUAGUACUAGCAACUUGUACUUAGUAGGAUGUACUGUCUGUCUGGUAUAUAGUCCAAUUUGGGUUGGGAAAAAACACGCAUGUGGAGUUAAAACACGGAUAGAGGAUUAAACACGGAUCUUCUUAAAAUUUUACUUCUUUUGAUGUGGUGGUGUUUAGCAAAAUUAUCAUGAAAAUGAUUUUCAUCGUAUGCUUUUGUUUAAAUUGUUCCAUGUGCCAAAUUGUAGUAAAGUAAACAAAAAUGUUUUAACACUUCAAUCAAAAAAUGCUUCGCAAAAAUUUAUUUUACAUGUGAAUAUAGUUAGCAUGUAAGCACUCUGCCAAAGACAUUAUCUAUACAUGUAGGUUAAAUGUAGCGUGUAAAAUGAAGUAGAAUUGCAUUUUUGAAAGAAGAUGUUUGUAGAAAAGUUUAUGUUGAAUUCUUGGGAUUGUUUAUUUCUGUACAUGCAUACUUGAAUGUGCAUUAUGUUCUCUUGGAAUCAACGUUCUCUGCUGUUAACACUAAAAUACAUUCAUAGCACUGAAAAUUCAUGAUUUGCGUUUGUUAUGCAUAUAGGCCCGUUCACACGACCCGAUUUGUCGUAUCUGAUUGUUUCGGUUCCGACUUUAAUUUGGUUACUUGCUCAGACGAUCGGAUGAUUUUGUUGAUAUUUAUGUUCGUUUAGAUAUUUAUAUUUGUGUUAUCCAGAAGAUUUAUCGAUAUAUUUUUCGUAUUUUGUUCUUUUUUACUUGUCCUUUUCAAAUCUGUGUAAUUUGACUAAUCAGUUUUCUUUGAGUUUGUUUGAUGAAAAUAGAACAAGCUUUAUUUUCAUACGAUUUUUUAAAUGGGCAAAUCAGACUAUCGUACGCUCACUUUGUGUUCAUAGGAUCCGUUUUCUAAGACCGAAAAUAGAACAAGCUUUAUUUUCAUACGAUUUUUUAAAUGGGCAAAUCAGACUAUCGUACGCUCACUUUGUGUUCAUAGGAUCCGUUUUCUAAGACUGAAAAUUUGUCAGUAAACUAUGUAAUAAACUAACAGUUGCACCGAAUUUAAUCGUUUUCAAGUAACAAACAAUGACAUCGAUUUCAUUAAAGUUGAAAUACAUAAAUGCUUCUUUUAUCUUGUUAUUGUCAAUAUUAUAAACAUGCGAGUGAAUUAUAUUAGUAAAUAUGAAACAUGGCAGUACAUUUUACACUGUUUGAACAUACCUCUUUGUUAAUUUUGAAUGAGCGUAAACAUACAAUACAUAAAAGGAAUAAACACACUCCAAAAAACAUUAUGUUGUAAACUCAAAAUUCGAGUUAUAAAAGCAAGAGACAAGAUUCAAAGCAAUAUUUCGACUUUAGUUCAAAGUCAUUAUCAAGCUAAGUCAUUGUUUACAAACAUGCGUGAUCUUAAAUAGUUGUUACAAGGAAAUGACGUAAGCAAUGAAAAGAAAGAAAGGCGAUGAAAGGAGAUGUUACUGUCUAGAAUUACACCAAUGAAAUUAAAAAAAAUAUCAAAAUCUUCAGCAGCCUUUAGUCCAGACUUGAGCUGAGGCUUUUUGAAACGUAUAUAAAUCGCCUCAAGGAAAAGCAAGGUGAUGAGCAAGGUCUUGAUGUUAAAGCCGAUUUUUAGAGUUCAAAGUUGCUUGAAGAUCAUUCUCUAUGGCGUUGUGAAAUACAAUGUUGUUUCUAUAGGACAAGUACUUUGCUUUUUGAAGUUGUCAAUGGUACAAAAAUUUUAGAUUAAGUCAGGUUCCACUGGAUCCGACUAGUCACGAACAGCUUUAGAAGCUGUUGAACUUUAUGAAUUAUUUUUCGUGAAACUAAGGAAUAUGAUUAUAAUUCAAACGUAAAUGAAAUAUCAAUGUAAACUAUAUAAAUGUUUAAUGCGUGAUCUCUGAACUAAAAAAUUCACAAUGAAUUUGCAAGUUGUUUUCAGAUUGAGCCAGCAAAACCGGCAGAAAACUACAGUAGGUAAACUAAUUUCAGAAAUUAAUCAACUGAAACUCAGAAUUCAAGAACUUCGAAUUGAGAGAGAUGAUAAAGAUGACAAAAUCGAAAAAUGGGUAAAUGAAAUCAACUUAGAGUUUGAGAGAUUUGCUUGUUUGAAGUUGACGAUCAAGGUAAAACAGGCCAACGGUGCUUGGGAGAAAGAAGAACCAAAGAAUAAGAAUUGCUGGAAAAUUACUGUCUCCCAAGCAGUGUCGGAUCUAGGGUUAAUCAAAAUAAAUUACUGCUGCACAUUUUAGAAUAUAUUUACAUUUUCAAUCCCCUCGAGACAAUUCCAUUGCUCACUGCUGCUCGCUGUGACUACCUCUCGAUCUGCUACUGCUCAAGAUUAAAUCGUGCAUAGACGGUUUAGCCUUUUCUGUCAAAGGAUAUCAGCGGGCAAAGAAUAUCCUACAGUGAAGUUUAAAGAUACCAGUGAAAUAUUCAGCGCCCAGAUGUACAGAACAUCAUGGAUUUACCUAACAUACCGGGAACACACUGCAUUAGGAUCCGCGCAAUUUAUGAUAAACUUUUUUCACCGUUCAAUCACUUGAAACUAUGGGAAAACUAAAAGGUAAACGGGAACAACAUUAUGUCUGUCUUGAGCUCAGACAUGAAAACUAAUGGCUUUAAGUUGAUGAGAUUAAUUGUUGAUGUUGGUGGAGAAGCUUUAAGGAUUACAUUGAGGAAACAACUUUCAGGUACUGAUUUAUUUAAUGUUUUAAAUGACACAGAAAAUCAUCUUAAGCUUUUGUCGCUAAAAUGUAAGCAAAUAAAGCAACAUCAAUGGGAUCUACUGUAUCCUCCUCCUCCAAUAUUACCAAAUGAAAAUAAGUUUGACAUUACUUUACUUUGUAUUCUCCUGCGUAAUAUUUGUGGUUUAAAACCACCUCGUGAUCCAAUAUGGAAACAUGCCUAAUGUCAAUGAUCAUUCAACUGAAGCAGAUAUUACCCGUAUCAGGUUAUUUCGUAAUGGUCGUUUUGCUCAUUUACCUAGCACUUCAGUAAGCUCUGAUGACUUUGAAAAUUUUGGCUGGAAAUAAGCGAACCAUUAGUUCGUUUAGGAAUAAGUCAGGAAGAAAUAGAUAGAUUGAAAAAGAGUUGUUUGGUAAUGAAGAAUAUAAAAGAAUUUUGAGAGAAUGGGACGGAUUAAAGAGCGAUUUAACUGAUAUCAAAACUGUUCAGAGAGGUAUUAAGAGAACAGUGGAGGAUGUAGAGAAACAUUUAGAAUUAUUUAAAGAAGUACAUGAAAUACGACAUCACCCUCACUUACGUCCAGAAGAAGAUAUUUUGACAAAAAACCUUGUUAGCUGUAACUUUGAAAGUGAAAUUAGGCAUCAUUAUGAAAAAUAUUUGCAUGGAACACGGGAAUGGGUUUUUAAAGAGUUUUUAGAUUGGUUUGAAGACGAAAGUUCUCAAAAUCGUGCAUUUAUUAUCUCUGCUGUAGCUGGCAUGGGAAAGUCUGUAAUUGCAGCUACUUUAUGUAAACGUUAUUCACAAUAUUUGACUGCAGUUCAUUUCUUUCAACACAACAACAGUCGUUACAAUAAAGCCAAUGUACUUCUUCAA